Molecule: non-coding RNA, 610 nt
Organism: Paramuricea clavata
Lineage: Eukaryota; Metazoa; Cnidaria; Anthozoa; Malacalcyonacea; Plexauridae
Source: the annotation of a GenBank genome assembly
CAAUUGAGAGCGUUUGAAAUUUGAUACUAUUUAUGGCCUUUUGUUUACAUUAGAAUGUUGCUGAGCUCAGACGUCUGAGUUCAUUGUCACUGCCAAAAAUGCGCUGUAGUUCUGCCAAAUAAUACCCUGGGUACCAGAGGUUCUUCCACGCAAGUAGGGGGGAUAAUGAGGGAUACACGAGGAUUCAAGCUGCGAGGCGACGAGCGGGAAGAACCUCUGGAACACUUCUAUGGUUUCUCAGAUCGAACCGCACCAAUCACGAUGCUUAAUAGUGUGAAGUGAUCCAGAAUCUGGAUCACAGUGUUAAUUGGUUAACGGCAGGGACUUGUUAAAACAAUGACUUUCAUUGGCUGUUUGAACCGUAUAUCCUUCAAGAUAUUAUCGUUCAGAAUCCGUACAGGCAUACGCUGUUGUUUAAUAUAAUAUUUUAUUUUUCACCUGCUCGGUUUCCUUUGUUUUUAUAGGGGAAUAUAUUCAAUAUUCCCCUCUAAUCAAUUUCCGUUUAAUAAUCCCCUCUAAUAUUCACCUGCAAUUAAUAAUUCCCUCUAAUAUUCACCUGCAAUGUCUUUGCAGCACAAAAAAUGAGAAGAAAAAAACAACAUGACGAAGG